This 229-nucleotide ribosomal RNA is filed under the name uncultured bacterium. RNAcentral's name for it is "partial 16S ribosomal RNA". It matches the Rfam family "Bacterial small subunit ribosomal RNA", at positions 568 to 796 of the family's 1533-position model. The record is from RNAcentral.
UGCGCAGGCGGAUAAAUAAGUCAGAGGUGAAAGCCCACAGCUCAACUGUGGAACUGCCUUUGAUACUGUUUAUCUUGAGUCUGGUUGAAGUAGGCGGAAUGUAGUAUGUAGCGGUGAAAUGCUUAGAUAUACUACAGAACACCGAUUGCGAAGGCAGCUUACUAAACCAGUACUGACGCUCAGGCACGAAAGCGUGGGGAGCGAACAGGAUUAGAUACCCUGGUAGUCC